RNAcentral lists this ribosomal RNA (650 nucleotides) under Allomuricauda sp. S119. Its description in RNAcentral is "bacterial SSU rRNA". It matches the Rfam family "Bacterial small subunit ribosomal RNA", at positions 98 to 746 of the family's 1533-position model. The record is from RNAcentral. Lineage: Bacteria; Pseudomonadati; Bacteroidota; Flavobacteriia; Flavobacteriales; Flavobacteriaceae.
GCGCACGGGUGCGGAACGCGUAUGGAACCUGCCCCUGUCAGGGGAAUAGCCCAGGGAAACUUGGAUUAAUGCCCCAUGGUACCGUGAUAUCGCAUGAUAUUGCGGUUAAAGAUUUAUCGGACAGGGAUGGCCAUGCGUACCAUUAGUUAGUUGGUGAGGUAACGGCUCACCAAGGCAGCGAUGGUUAGGGGCCCUGAGAGGGGGAUCCCCCACACUGGUACUGAGACACGGACCAGACUCCUACGGGAGGCAGCAGUGAGGAAUAUUGGACAAUGGGCGGGAGCCUGAUCCAGCCAUGCCGCGUGCAGGAUGACGGCCCUAUGGGUUGUAAACUGCUUUUAUACGGGAAGAAACGCGCCCACGUGUGGGCGUUUGACGGUACCGUAAGAAUAAGGACCGGCUAACUCCGUGCCAGCAGCCGCGGUAAUACGGAGGGUCCGAGCGUUAUCCGGAAUCAUUGGGUUUAAAGGGUCCGUAGGCGGGCCUGUAAGUCAGGGGUGAAAGUUUGUGGCUCAACCAUAAAAUUGCCUUUGAUACUGCAGGUCUUGAGUCAUGGUGGGGUUGCCGGAACAUGUGGUGUAGCGGUGAAAUGCAUAGAUAUCACAUAGAACACCGAUCGCGAAGGCAGGUGACCAACCAUGUACUGACGC